UAAAGUCCCACACCUAAAACGCACAGCA
This 28-nucleotide non-coding RNA is filed under the name Mus musculus (house mouse). Lineage: Eukaryota; Metazoa; Chordata; Mammalia; Rodentia; Muridae. The record is from RNAcentral.